This 418-nucleotide ribosomal RNA is filed under the name uncultured bacterium. RNAcentral's name for it is "bacterial SSU rRNA". It matches the Rfam family "Bacterial small subunit ribosomal RNA", at positions 364 to 774 of the family's 1533-position model. The record is from RNAcentral.
UUGGACAAUGGGCGCAAGCCUGAUCCAGCAAUGCCGCGUGUGUGAAGAAGGCCUUCGGGUUGUAAAGCACUUUUGUCCGGAAAGAAAUCCGUCUGGCUAAUACCCGGACGGGAUGACGGUACCGGAAGAAUAAGCACCGGCUAACUACGUGCCAGCAGCCGCGGUAAUACGUAGGGUGCGAGCGUUAAUCGGAAUUACUGGGCGUAAAGCGUGCGCAGGCGGCUUUGUAAGACAGAUGUGAAAUCCCCGGGCUCAACCUGGGAACUGCAUUUGUGACUGCAAGGCUAGAGUGCGUCAGAGGGUGGUGGAAUUCCGCGUGUAGCAGUGAAAUGCGUAGAGAUGCGGAGGAACACCGAUGGCGAAGGCAGCCUCCUGGGAUGACUCUGACGCUCAUGCACGAAAGCGUGGGGAGCAAACA